Non-coding RNA from Strongyloides ratti, 46 nucleotides. The record is from Rfam. NCBI's taxonomy places the organism in Eukaryota, Metazoa, Nematoda, Chromadorea, Rhabditida, Strongyloididae.
CCAAAAGCCCUCUUUAGGGCUACCAAAUUUAUAUACAUUAACUUAU